GACGAACGCUGGCGGCGUGCUUAACACAUGCAAGUCGAGCGAUGAAACACCUUCGGGUGCGGAUUAGCGGCGAACGGGUGAGGAACACGUGAGGAAUCUGCCUUCCACUCUGGGAUAACUCCGGGAAACCGGGGCUAAUACCGGAUACUUUCCACUUGCGGCAUCGCCGGUGGAAGAAAGUUGUUCGGUGGAAGCUGAUCUCGCGGCCUAUUAGCUUGUUGGUGAGGUAAAGGCUCACCAAGGCGACGACGGGUAGCCGGCCUGAGAGGGCGACCGGCCACACUGGGACUGAGACACGGCCCAGACUCCUACGGGAGGCAGCAGUGGGGAAUAUUGGGCAAUGGAGGAAACUCUGACCCAGCGACGCCGCGUGAGGGAUGAAGGCCUUCGGGUUGUAAACCUCUUUCAGCAGGGAAUAAGCGAAAGUGAAGGUACCUGCAGAAGAAGCACCGGCUAACUAUGUGCCAGCCGCCGCCGUAA
This 480-nucleotide ribosomal RNA is filed under the name uncultured bacterium. RNAcentral's name for it is "partial 16S ribosomal RNA". It matches the Rfam family "Bacterial small subunit ribosomal RNA", at positions 28 to 523 of the family's 1533-position model. The record is from RNAcentral.